Molecule: ribosomal RNA, 587 nt
Filed under: uncultured Lachnum
Lineage: Eukaryota; Fungi; Ascomycota; Leotiomycetes; Helotiales; Hyaloscyphaceae
Description: eukaryotic LSU rRNA
Rfam family: 5.8S ribosomal RNA (bases 206-359)
Source: RNAcentral
GGAAGUAAAAGUCGUAACAAGGUCUCCGUUGGUGAACCAGCGGAGGGAUCAUUACCGAGUUUACAACUCCCAAACCCCUGUGAACAUACCUUAAUGUUGCCUCGGCGGAUCAGCCCGCGCCCCGUAAAACGGGACGGCCCGCCAGAGGACCCAAACUCUAAUGUUUCUUAUUGUAACUUCUGAGUAAAACAAACAAAUAAAUCAAAACUUUCAACAACGGAUCUCUUGGUUCUGGCAUCGAUGAAGAACGCAGCAAAAUGCGAUAAGUAAUGUGAAUUGCAGAAUUCAGUGAAUCAUCGAAUCUUUGAACGCACAUUGCGCCCGCUGGUAUUCCGGCGGGCAUGCCUGUUCGAGCGUCAUUUCAACCCUCAAGCCCCCGGGUUUGGUGUUGGGGAUCGGCUCUGCCCUUCUGGGCGGUGCCGCCCCCGAAAUACAUUGGCGGUCUCGCUGCAGCCUCCAUUGCGUAGUAGCUAACACCUCGCAACUGGAACGCGGCGCGGCCAUGCCGUAAAACCCCAACUUCUGAAUGUUGACCUCGGAUCAGGUAGGAAUACCCGCUGAACUUAAGCAUAUCAAUAAGCGGAGGA